UUGGAGGGCAAGUCUGGUGCCAGCAGCCGCGGUAAUUCCAGCUCCAAUAGCGUAUAUUAAAGUUGUUGAGGUUAAAAAGCUCGUAGUUGAAUUUCGGGGUUAGUAGGUUGGUCAUGCCUCUGGUAUGUACUGGUCUCACUGAUUCCUCCUUCCUGAUGAACCGUAAUGCCAUUAAUUUGGUGUUGCGGGGAAUUUGGACUGUUACUUUGAAAAAAUUAGAGUGUUUAAAGCAAGCUAACGCUUGAAUACAUUAGCAUGGAAUAAUGAAAUAGGACGUUCGAUCCUAUUUUGUUGGUUUCUAGGAUUGACGUAAUGAUUAAUAGGGAUAGUUGGGGGCAUUAGUAUUCAAUUGUCAGAGGUGAAAUUCUUGGAUUUAUUGAAGACUAACUACUGCGAAAGCAUUUGCCAAGGAUGUUUUCAUUAAUCAAGAACGAAAGUUAGGGGAUCGAAGACGAUCAGAUACCGUCGUAGUCUUAACCAUAAACUAUGCCGACUAGGGAUCGGAUGAUGUUAAUUUUUUAAUGACUCAUUCGGCGCCUUACGGGAAAC
Molecule: ribosomal RNA, 549 nt
Filed under: uncultured Glomus
Lineage: Eukaryota; Fungi; Glomeromycota; Glomeromycetes; Glomerales; Glomeraceae
Description: SSU rRNA
Rfam family: Eukaryotic small subunit ribosomal RNA
Source: RNAcentral